RNAcentral lists this ribosomal RNA (221 nucleotides) under uncultured fungus. RNAcentral's name for it is "partial small subunit ribosomal RNA". The stretch from base 94 to 221 matches the Rfam family "Eukaryotic small subunit ribosomal RNA", at positions 735 to 864 of the family's 1831-position model. The record is from RNAcentral. Lineage: Eukaryota; Fungi.
GGUACGAUUUGCCCGGUCCACGUUCCGCAAGGACGCGAGUAUUGGAGCGAUUCUGCCAUCCUUCUGGUUAACUGGCUGCACUUAACUGUGCGGUCAGCGAUCCAGAUCAUUUACUUUGAAAAAAUUAGAGUGUUUAAAGCAGGCUUUUGCUAUGAAUACAUUAGCAUGGAAUAAUAAUUUAGGACUUUGCUCCUAUUUUAUUGGUUUCUAGGGGUAAAGUA